This 159-nucleotide ribosomal RNA is filed under the name Daldinia caldariorum. RNAcentral describes it as "5.8S ribosomal RNA". It matches the Rfam family "5.8S ribosomal RNA". Rfam says of the family: 5.8S ribosomal RNA (5.8S rRNA) is a component of the large subunit of the eukaryotic ribosome. It is transcribed by RNA polymerase I as part of the 45S precursor that also contains 18S and 28S rRNA. Functionally, it is thought that 5.8S rRNA may be involved in ribosome translocation. Lineage: Eukaryota; Fungi; Ascomycota; Sordariomycetes; Xylariales; Hypoxylaceae. The record is from RNAcentral.
AACUUUCAACAACGGAGGCUCUUGGUUCUGGCAUCGAUGAAGAACGCAGCGAAAUGCGAUAAGUAAUGUGAAUUGCAGAAUUCAGUGAAUCAUCGAAUCUUUGAACGCAUAUGGCGCCCGCUAGUAUUCUAGCGGGCAUGCCCUGUCGAGCGUCAUUUC